RNAcentral lists this ribosomal RNA (420 nucleotides) under uncultured bacterium. Its description in RNAcentral is "bacterial SSU rRNA". It matches the Rfam family "Bacterial small subunit ribosomal RNA", at positions 355 to 774 of the family's 1533-position model. The record is from RNAcentral.
UAAGGAAUAUUGCUCAAUGGGAGAAAUCCUGAAGCAGCAACGCCGCGUGGAGGAUGAAGGGUCUAUGACUUGUAAACUCCUGUAAAGAAGGAAAAAAUUCCCAUUAGAUGGGAGAUGAUGGUACUUCUGGAGUAAGCCCCGGCUAACUACGUGCCAGCAGCCGCGGUAAUACGUAGGGGGCAAGCGUUGUCCGGAUUUACUGGGUGUAAAGGGUGCUCAGGCGGAUUUGUAAGUCAGAGGUGAAAUCUUACAGCUUAACUGUGAAACUGCCUAUGAUACUUCAAGCCUAGAGUAUGGAAGGGAGUGAUGGAAUAUCUGGUGUAGCAGUGAAAUGCGUAGAUAUCAGAUAGAACACCAAUGGCGAAGGCAGUCACUUGGUCCAUGACUGACGCUAAAGCACGAAAGCGUGGGUAGCAAACA